RNAcentral lists this ribosomal RNA (1542 nucleotides) under uncultured bacterium. RNAcentral describes it as "partial 16S rRNA". It matches the Rfam family "Bacterial small subunit ribosomal RNA". The record is from RNAcentral.
AGAGUUUGAUCCUGGCUCAGGACGAACGCUGGCGGCGUGCUUAACACAUGCAAGUCGAACGGACCUUAUUUGGAGGAAGCUUUCGGGUAGACACUGAAUAAGGUUAGUGGCGGACGGGUGAGUAACGCGUAGAUAAUCUACCUUAAAGACUGGGACAACAGUUGGAAACGACUGCUAAUACCGGAUAAGCUAAACGGAAGGCAUCUUCUGUUUAGGAAAGGAGGCCUCUUAACAAUGCUCCCGCUUUUAGAUGAGUCUGCGUCUGAUUAGCUAGUUGGUGGGGUAACGGCUUACCAAGGCGACGAUCAGUAGUCGGCCUGAGAGGGUGACCGGCCACAUUGGGACUGAGACACGGCCCAAACUCCUACGGGAGGCAGCAGUGGGGAAUCUUCCGCAAUGGGCGAAAGCCUGACGGAGCAACGCCGCGUGAUCGAAUGAAGGCCUUCGGGUUGUAAAGAUCUGUUGACAGGGACGAAUAAGCCAUGCGAAUAGUUUGGUGUAUGACGGUACCUGUUUAGAAAGCUCCGGCUAACUACGUGCCAGCAGCCGCGGUAAUACGUAGGGAGCAAGCGUUGUCCGGAAUUACUGGGCGUAAAGGGCGCGUAGGUGGGUGCUUAAGUCAGGUGUGAAAACUCUGGGCUCAACCUGGAGACUGCACUUGAAACUGGGUAUCUUGAGGGCAGGAGAGGAAAGUGGAAUUCCUAGUGUAGCGGUGAAAUGCGUAGAUAUUAGGAGGAACACCAGUGGCGAAGGCGACUUUCUGGACUGUACCUGACGCUGAGGCGCGAAAGCGUGGGUAGCGAACGGGAUUAGAUACCCCGGUAGUCCACGCCGUAAACGAUGAAUACUAGGUGUAGGAGGUAUCGACUCCUUCUGUGCCGCAGCAAACGCAAUAAGUAUUCCGCCUGGGGACUACGGUCGCAAGACUAAAACUCAAAGGAAUUGACGGGGACCCGCACAAGCGGUGGAGCAUGUGGUUUAAUUCGACGCAACGCGAAGAACCUUACCAGGGCUUGACAUCCCUCGCUAUCUGUGGAAACACGGAGUUCCGUAGCUUGCUACGGACGAGGAGACAGGUGGUGCAUGGUUGUCGUCAGCUCGUGUCGUGAGAUGUUGGGUUAAGUCCCGCAACGAGCGCAACCCCUACGUCCAGUUGCCAGCACGUUAAGGUGGGAACUCUGGAGGAACUGCCGGUGACAAACCGGAGGAAGGUGGGGAUGACGUCAAAUCAUCAUGCCCUUUAUGUUCUGGGCUACACACGUGCUACAAUGGCCGGUACAGAGGGCGGCGAAGCCGCGAGGUGGAGCGAAUCCCAAAAAGCCGGUCUAAGUUCGGAUUGCAGGCUGCAACCCGCCUGCAUGAAGUCGGAAUCGCUAGUAAUCGCGAGUCAGCAUAUCGCGGUGAAUACGUUCCCGGGUCUUGUACACACCGCCCGUCACACCAUGGGAGUUGGCAACACCCGAAGUCGAUGAGCUAACCGCAAGGAGGCAGUCGCCUAAGGUGGGGUUGAUAACUGGGGUGAAGUCGUAACAAGGUAACCAA